UGCUCCUCUAGAGAACCCUGACUAAUACAAGGGUUUGCAAGCCUGUUCCCCACUUUCCCAUCCAUACCUCUCUCCCGUUUUUAGCUUCCCUUACUAAUUCCUGGAACUUUUCACUUUUCUCUGUCACUCUGACACAAAGAUUUAGGCUUUUAUAGCACUGAAAAUAAACUUUGUGUCCGUGCUGUUAAACCGGGCGUAACACAUGCCCGAACUCCCAAACAGACGCUAACUCUUCCUGCCCAGCUGGUACUGUAUCUGCUGCUGCUACUGCUGUUUAUAUCCAGCCUCCAUUGGAGCCAGGUACAGUGUAUCAGAGGCGCUGGACUCAGAAUUCCCUCCCUCUACCCCCACACACCUGCCAUGGCCGUGCUAACUUCUCUUCCCUUGAGAUAAGUUCUACUCGGGGAACUUUCUCAGCCUUGCCCACGUGGGCUUAUGCUGGCUGCCUCCACCUUCCUCCCAAUCAAGCUCCCAGGGUGUACGCACGAUGACCCAGUCAUUCUGGAAGUUUGCCUGCUAGAAGCUGGGGAAAACACUGUCAAAACUGCCAGCAGUUUUAUGUUUAAAGCAGAAGCAGUGUUCACGGGAGGUGUUCAAAGCUUGUCUCCCGUUUUGGAAUACUUUGCAGCUGUUCUGGAGUUUUGAAGGAAAAGGCCAGAUCCUGCCCUGGAAUGGGAAGGUCAGGUGCAGACCCUGUCCCAGGAUUUCUGGCCCUGGCGUCCUGCGAUUCCCAUUACAUGACGUCUGUCCAACAGUCAGGAGAGAGCUCCACAGUAACGCACGGAAGAGUCAUCUGUCUUCACUUUGGAAUCUGCUCAUAGAAGACAGCUACUAACUAGGGGGCUCCAGAGAGGCCAAGGAAAAGGACCUGGAGACUUGGAUCACAAAACAUUUUUGGAACUCAUACUAUGUGCUAGACACUGAAGACAGAAUACUACUCGGACAUAACAAAGGAACCUGAUACAUCUGAGGACACGGUUGAACCCCAAAGAAAUUAUGUUCAGUGACAGAAGCCAGAAGCGAACGACUCCAGUAUGGAUGAUUCCAUUUACAUGAAAUGCCCAGAAAAGACAAAUUUAUAAAGACAGAAAGUAGGAAUUAUCCUGCCUCAGCUGCGGAAGCCCAAGCGGAUCAACCUUCUAAAACAGGAGUGUGUGAUUGCUGGAUAAAGUUUGCCAAAAGCACAUCUUGCUGUUAUCCUGCACUGACUGUGACUUUCUCUGAUGGGAAACCAUACACCACGCACUGCUGUCUGCUCAGAAUCAUUGAAUAUGAAAGACGCCUGCCAUCAUUUUUAAUGCCUGCAUGAUAUUCCACUGGACGGAUGGUGAUUCAGAUGCAUGAAAAGGACUUCCUGCGGAGAGGACGUUUCGGCCGUCACCUCACUUCCCCAGGAGCGCUGCGGGCCCGUGUUGGGGUAACCGUGGGUCAGCACGAGGGAGCCGCCCUGCGUUCCCAACCACCUGGGCAACUCGCAGCCCUACAAGCUGACUCCUGACUUCUCAGCAGAGACAGAAAAAUUCAGCCCUUCGGAUGCCUGUCAACCAGCACAUUCGCAGCAACUUUCCUGGGGUACCGGAAAGAGGGGAUUAUGUUCUGCUAAAUCACCUUAUUACCUCUCAUGACUGCUUUUUAAAAAUACCAAAUGAGGGCUGGGGAUUUAGCUCAGUGGUUUCGCCGCCUGCUGUGCAAACGCAAGGACCCGAGUUCGAUCCCCGGUUCAAAAAAAAAAAAAAAACCAAAUGGGUUUCGAGGGGUAGCUCAGUAAUACAGCGCUUGCCUAGCACAUCCAAGGCCCUGAGUUCAAUCCCCAGCACGGCAAAAAUAAAUAAGUAAAAAGGCCGGGAGCACAGCUCAGUGGCAGAAGGUUUGCCUAGCUUAUCCAAGGCCCUAGGUUUGAUCCCCCAGUACCUCAAAAGCAAACAAACAUGUAAACAAGGACCACUGAGCAAGGAAAAGAAUCACAGAAGACCACCAAGUAGUAAAAAUCAAUCGAAUUUCCUCUUUCAAAAUCACUUGCUUUUGAGCCAGGCAUGGAGGGACACACCUGUGAUCCCAGCACUCUGGAGGCUGAGGCAGGAGGAACACAGCAGGUUCGAGGCCAGCCUGGGGAAUGUAGUGAACCUGUCUCAAAAAAAAAAAAAAGGAAGAGAAGAACGAGCAAGUAGAGGUCGGAGAGACCCGACAAUGGCAGGAAGAGGUGGCUGGGCUCCAGGGAGGAAGUGAGUCUGGGAGGCUCUCCCUUUCAGCUGCCCACUGGAAGUGUGGAGAACCAGGCGGGCCAUUUUUAAUACGUGAUGUUCAGUUUCUCCAGUCCUUUCUCAGAUCAACUAUGCUCUCUCUUCGUCUCAACACAGGCACAAACUUAAGAUGUCAGCAGGGAAAUAAUUUGUUCCACUUCUCCAAGUAUCCACUGCUUCCCUACAAGAGCCUCUUCUGAGCCACCCACCUGCCUCGAAGGGCGCGGCAUGGGUCUCACAGCUGCCCUCGCAGACCGGAAGCUGGCACACAGCUCUAAGGUCAUCGCGACCCUCUGCUUGCUGAUUUAACUGGUGCCUUAGUCCAGUCAGUGAGUACGCACUGGGCUGUGAGUCAAGGGAGACGGUAUCAGCAGGGUGCCAGGCACAAGUGGAGAGGGGCACCCCUGUAAUGCCAGCGCUCGGGAGUCUGAGGCAGGAGGGUCGAAGGCUGGAGGCCACCCUGGGCUCCAAAAUGUCACAGACCCAACAGCCACUGAGCAGAAGGCAGGAUGGGCUUGAGCUGGGCCAUCAGGGGAAGCAUCUGAGGAGCAGGAUUAGAGGUGGGUAUCCCAAGAGAUGGGCUAAGCACAGAGUAGGGAAGGAUGGAGAGAGGACAAAGCAACUGUGCCCACUGGGCAGUAGACUUCGCACCUCAACUGCUGGACACAGGAGACACAACGAGAACAAGCAGGAUGGGACAGAUUGAGGGGGACAGUGCAGGGUGCACCUCAAGGCUGGAGGACCAACAGGAGGUACACAGGAGCAGCACUGCCCAGGUGCCAGUUCCAGCUACAGAGAGGAGGACAACAGCACGACAGCCAGCCAGGGGCCAUGGGGAGGGCACAGUGCCACCACGCACAGGACAUGGCACACACGCCCAGUGAAGGGGCAGCCUACAAAGUAACUGGCCCGAGCCCUUCCAGAGUGUCAAGGUCACCGCUGGGCGUGGUGGCGCAGGCCCGUAAUCCCACUCAGGAGGCUGAGGCAGAAGGAUCGCCAUGAGUUCCAGGACAGCCUGGGCUACAUAGUGAGUUUGAGGCCAGCCUGAUCUAUUUAGCGAAACCCUGUCUCAAAAAACCGAAAAAAAAAUUGUCAAGGUCAUGAAAGACAGAUAGAAUGACUACGGAACUGGCCCAGAUUAAAGGAAAUGACAACUAAUGCAACAAAGAGCCUGGGUUGGCUCCUGGACAAAAGCAUUUGUUUUGUUUUGCUUUUUAAAGAUCUUUCCCCCUCUUUUUGCAUAAAGGACAACUGGUGAUACAUGAUAAGAUCUGUGGAUUGGAUAAUAACCCUAAAUCAAUGUUAAAUCUGAUUUUUCCUCCAAUACUGGGGAUCAAACUCAGGACCUUGAUUGUUAAAUCUGAUUUUGACACUUGUUUUGGAAGAAAGUGUUCUUUUUUAAGAAAAAAAAAUACCCUUAAGUAUUUAGGAGGAUAAAGGUAUACCAUGUCUAUAUUAUUCUGAAGUGGUUCAGGGAAAAUUUACAACAAAUAUAUGUGUGUGUACAUGUCUACGUGUGCGACAUAGACACAGGUAUGCCGAGUCAGGGAGUAAGAGACUGUGAUAGAAGAAUGUGGUUAGGGCCCAGGAUGUAGCUCAGUGGUACCGCACCUGCCUGCCAAGCGCAAGGUCCUGAGUUCAAUUUCCGGUACCAUAAAAAAAUGAAGAAGAAUGUGGUUAAAGGGUAUAUCUGAAUUAUUUAAAUCCUUGGAAUUUUUCUGUAAAUAUGACUUAUUUCAAAAUGAAAAGUUAAGAAAGAGGAACACUGAUUAAGGAAUCCAGUGUGACAAAAUAGUAGGUUUCCUGGUAUUAAACUCUGAAUGAAAUCUAGGGGGCAAGCUGAGCAAAACAGGGUCGAAAGGAGGGCUCCAAGCUCAGAGGUUGCCAGCUCCACAUUCAGAUCCCGAGUUCCUUUCUCUGAUCGAUUCCUAGCGAGCAGUGCCUCCCUUCAGUUACUCUAACUUCUGUCUCCCUCGGGCUCUUCACCUUCAGGACAGGAACCGGAAGAGUUGUGGCCUCAUAGCCGGAGGAAGGAGCCAGGCUUUCGGGGAGGUGAGGGGACUCGUCCAGUCCCCCUCGUCAUGGUUGGUUUUGGGGUGCAGAUGAGGCCAGGAAAGCUGAGGGGGCCCAAGGACAGGAAGGCGAAGGAGGCACAGGAGCUGGGCACGGAACCUGGGCGGCCAGUGCUGUGGAAGACAGGGACCACGAGAGGCCCAGGAGCAGAGUGACACCACCAGCCGCCGCAGGGCACAGACCAAGGAGCGGGACAGAGCCAAGGGGCCGUGAGGGCACCUCCACUGCCGCCCAGGAGCAGGCAGCUUCGGCAGGAAGACGAUGGAGAUGAAGUGUGAGCGGGCUGCCCAAGGCGAGACCCGCGGCCAGCCGGAGAGCUCAUCAGUGCCUGGGAUCUGGGGCUGCACAGUCUCCCAGUCACCAACAGCCCCGUGUGCCCCUUUAAAGGGAAUUGAAUAUUUUUCUUUUCUUUUUUUGUGGUGCUGGGGAUAGAACUGAGAAUGCCUCAUGCAUGCAAAACUUGCAGUCUGCCCCUUAAAACUUCAAUUCCUCAGUCACACUUAGCUACACUGGGAGAGCUCAGGGACAGCACUGAUAUAAAAUAUUUCCCUCGCCGCAGGAAGUUCUACGGCACAGGGCGGGGCCUCUCGAACAAUUUCCCAGGAGAUGAGUGACCUGAAUACAUGGCGGAAUGGGGGCUGGGGCAGAGGAAGGAGAGGCCACAGAAAUGGAGAUGGGGAACGGGAAAUGGAACAAGUUCCCAAAGGGCCCCGGAGGAAGGAAGAGAUUGCUGGCUUCAAGGCCAGAGAGGGCAGGGUGCCGGCCUAGGUUCCUCUGAAGACAUCUUCUUUUGAAGAAAGAAGAUAAACAAGGGCAAAAACAAGCAGAGGAAAACGCCUGGGACGAGUGAAGACACAGGGAGGACGCACAGUGAAUGAAGGCCCAGGGCUGCAAACUAGAAUGUCUGUACCUUUACCAGUGAAGGGAACUCAUGACGAGUUUAAUUAGUGAUGCAAAGCUCUGGUGUAACCUGAGUGUAACUCUAAGUGGAUGCAGUCGGAGUCAACAAAUGAUGGACUUUUUCUUUAGAAGAGCAAGACCUCAGUGAAUGAAAGCAACCAGCACAAACCAGCAAUGGAACUAGUGUGAAGGCCUCUGCUGGGUAAUACCAAGGCAGGCUGGAAGGACAGUGCACACAAUGAGGGUGAUUUGGGAUUGGAAACUGGAAUAGGAGAAGCCCAACCUGUUUUGACAAUGGAUUCCAGACUGCAGAUGGCGGAAGUGGCUGGCCACCCGAGGCUCCCAAUGGCGGGAGGGCGCCUUGAGGAGCCACAGAACGGGAACAGCAAGUGAUCAGAGUCCUCAGUGGUGGUUCGAAGCAAACACAGUGGGUGGAAAGAAUCAGCUCAGUAGGCAGAAGUCCAAGCUCUAGAUGUUGAAGGUGAAGAAAUUCUCAAGACUGAACACAUCCUAGAUGCUAGUGGUUGAAGUAAAGUGAAAACUGAAGCCCCGAGAGUUGGCAUUGAGUAACUCUAGGUGCAGUCAAUGAAUUAGAAGACCCUCUACAUAAACCCCAAAGUCACUGGCAAGAGGCAAGGCAGGGGCGGGGGAUUUAGCUCAGUGGUUCUGCUGCCUGCCUUGCAAGCGGAAGGAUCUGAGUUCAAUCCUCAGUACCAAAAAAAAAAAAAAAGAGGCAAGGCAAAGAGAAUGAAGCUGGUCCCUCCUGUCACUGGCUCACUUUGUAGCAUCAAGUGAAGUCAACACCAAACCGAAGUGAACACCAGAAUCAGCAGGGAGCUGUUUCCUCUCUUCCUCCUCCCUCCCCUGUUGCUCCUCUUUCUUCUUUUGGGGUUUGUUUUUAAAAUGAGGAUUUUGAAGUUCUCACCCACACUGAUGAUUCUACUUUGGCACACUUGAGCCUAACACAUCAUGUUUUUCAAAAUCUUCCAAGUGAUUCUGAAGACCCACCAGGGUGGGAAGUACCGAGCCAGAAGAUGAGCAUCCUUGCUCAGGUGAGAGAGAGGGCAGCAGAGAGGGCUGUUCUGAGAAAAGUCAUUCCCUGAAGCUCAGGUACAAAGGGAAGGCCAAGGAACCGCUUGGCAAUGGAAAAAUGGAAAUGCAGGAGUCUGGCUGCAGGAUGUAGGGAAGGGGACACUGCAAGACUGCAGUCACACAGGCCAGCGGCCUGCCGAGGAUGCGGGGGACUUUGCUAAUGGAGAUUCCAAGCACAGUGAGAUCUGCUCAUUGGAGGCUUAGUAGGGCUGAAUGCCUGGGCCGUAGUAUUUUUCUGUGAGCCACUGGCUUUCUAAUGUAUAAACCAUUAACGAUCACUAAGCCUCUGGUAAGCAAGCUUGCACAAGAAGCUUUUUCAUGAACCGGAAAACUUUGCCCAGCCCACAUUUUUAUACAGAUGAGAUGCGACCCAAACGAAUAUCCAGGUUCUCUCAAAGUCAGAGGGGCAGGCCUGGGAGAGGAAGGCAGGUCUGUCCCUCCAGGCAGAAGAGGGAAGUUUGCCGAUGGACAAUGUGGAAAAGGGCCUGAGUGUCUUUUUUAGUACCAGCCAGUGCUAAAAAUAGAAGAGGAACCACAGCCUAUCAGAUACUCCUUACAUACACACACACACACACACACACUCCAUGGCGGAGCUCUGAAAGCAGAUACAACGUGCAAAUCCUACCAAUGGUUCUCAAUAAAGAAACAUAUUUACUCUCACGAACCUCUUAUCUGAAGAGCAACCUGCCUGUGUUUGGCCCUGCUCCCCAGAAAGCUGCACUUUGACAGAUUCAAACCAGUCCAGCAUUGUUUCUGAUCACUCCUGCGAAAUAAUUCCUGACACCAGGUAUAGGGUCUUUAGGCUGAGGGUGCGCGCGUGCGCACUCACACACACACACACACACACGCGCGCGCGCGCGCGCGCGCGCGCACCUCAGGCACAUUGAAAAAAUGACUCAUUUAAUUUGCUGCUGCCUGCCACUACUGGGUUUUGGUUUUACCUGUUCAAAUACAAAGUUUUCUAUGAGAUCAACUACAGCAAAGAAGCAGUCGGGAGGAUUAACUCUUGAUUUUUGUUCACAACCCUGGGCUGGGGCACCCAGGGGUUUUGACCUGAGCGUUUUAAGCAGCCGCUCUGCAGACCUCAGACUGCUCUCCUGAGCAUCUUCCACAGGACAGUGACCUCCCUCGUCACUUCGGGGGUCGGUUCCAGGAAACCCCUUGCAGAAUAAACUUGGUUGAGUCUUGCAGAUCCAACACCUGACAAACCGAACCGUGCUUCAGGCUGUCCCUCGGCUCCUAGCACGACGGCACGGCGCAACACAACUGCCCAGGACCCACGUCUCUCCUUCCAAAUACGGGCAGGGUCGACCUGUCCAAGGUCACUCAGCUCGCUGGGUGGGACGGGGACGCGCCCCUGCCCCAGCGACCUGUGCACCG
Molecule: non-coding RNA, 7685 nt
Organism: Heterocephalus glaber (naked mole-rat)
Lineage: Eukaryota; Metazoa; Chordata; Mammalia; Rodentia; Bathyergidae
Source: RefSeq, a predicted model, not a curated record